This 413-nucleotide ribosomal RNA is filed under the name uncultured bacterium. RNAcentral's name for it is "bacterial SSU rRNA". It matches the Rfam family "Bacterial small subunit ribosomal RNA", at positions 505 to 916 of the family's 1533-position model. The record is from RNAcentral.
GUGCCAGAAGACUCGGUAAUACGAAGGGUGCAAGCGUUACUCGGAAUUACUGGGCGUAAAGCGUGCGUAGGCGGUUUGUUAAGUCAGAUGUGAAAGCCCCGGGCUCAACCUGGGAAUGGCAUUUGAUACUGGCGAGCUAGAGUACGGUAGAGGGUGGUGGAAUUCCCGGUGUAGCGGUGAAAUGCGUAGAGAUCGGGAGGAACAUCUGUGGCGAAGGCGGCCACCUGGACCAGUACUGACGCUGAGGCACGAAAGCGUGGGGAGCAAACAGGAUUAGAUACCCUGGUAGUCCACGCCCUAAACGAUGCGAACUGGACGUUGGGCUCAAUUGAGAGUUCAGUGUCGAAGCUAACGCGUUAAGUUCGCCGCCUGGGGAGUACGGUCGCAAGACUGAAACUCAAAUGAAUUGGCGG